AUGCAAGUCGAACGAUGAUCAGGAGCUUGCUCCUGUGAUUAGUGGCGAACGGGUGAGUAACACGUGAGUAACCUGCCCCUGACUCUGGGAUAAGCGUUGGAAACGACGUCUAAUACUGGAUAUGAUCACUGGCCGCAUGGUCUGGUGGUGGAAAGAUUUUUUGGUUGGGGAUGGACUCGCGGCCUAUCAGCUUGUUGGUGAGGUAAUGGCUCACCAAGGCGACGACGGGUAGCCGGCCUGAGAGGGUGACCGGCCACACUGGGACUGAGACACGGCCCAGACUCCUACGGGAGGCAGCAGUGGGGAAUAUUGCACAAUGGGCGAAAGCCUGAUGCAGCAACGCCGCGUGAGGGAUGACGGCCUUCGGGUUGUAAACCUCUUUUAGUAGGGAAGAAGCGAAAGUGACGGUACCUGCAGAAAAAGCACCGGCUAACUACGUGCCAGCAGCCGCGGUAAUACGUAGGGUGCAAGCGUUGUCCGGAAUUAUUGGGCGUAAAGAGCUCGUAGGCGGUUUGUCGCGUCUGCUGUGAAAUCCCGAGGCUCAACCUCGGGCUUGCAGUGGGUACGGGCAGACUAGAGUGCGGUAGGGGAGAUUGGAAUUCCUGGUGUAGCGGUGGAAUGCGCAGAUAUCAGGAGGAACACCGAUGGCGAAGGCAGAUCUCUGGGCCGUAACUGACGCUGAGGAGCGAAAGCGUGGGGAGCGAACAGGAUUAGAUACCCUGGUAGUCCACGCCGUAAACGUUGGGCGCUAGAUGUAGGGACCUUUCCACGGUUUCUGUGUCGUAGCUAACGCAUUAAGCGCCCCGCCUGGGGAGUACGGCCGCAAGGCUAAAACUCAAAGGAAUUGACGGGGGCCCGCACAAGCGGCGGAGCAUGCGGAUUAAUUCGAUGCAACGCGAAGAACCUUACCAAGGCUUGACAUACACCGGGAAAUGGGCCAGAGAUGGUCGCCCCCUUGUGGUCGGUGUACAGGUGGUGCAUGGUUGUCGUCAGCUCGUGUCGUGAGAUGUUGGGUUAAGUCCCGCAACGAGCGCAACCCUCGUUCUAUGUUGCCAGCGCGUUAUGGCGGGGACUCAUAGGAGACUGCCGGGGUCAACUCGGAGGAAGGUGGGGAUGACGUCAAAUCAUCAUGCCCCUUAUGUCUUGGGCUUCACGCAUGCUACAAUGGCCGGUACAAAGGGCUGCGAUACCGUAAGGUGGAGCGAAUCCCAAAAAGCCGGUCUCAGUUCGGAUUGAGGUCUGCAACUCGACCUCAUGAAGUCGGAGUCGCUAGUAAUCGCAGAUCAGCAACGCUGCGGUGAAUACGUUCCCGGGCCUUGUACACACCGCCCGUCAAGUCAUGAAAGUCGGUAACACCCGAAGCCGGUGGCCUAACCCUUGUGGAAGGAGCCGU
RNAcentral lists this ribosomal RNA (1393 nucleotides) under Curtobacterium. RNAcentral's name for it is "bacterial SSU rRNA". It matches the Rfam family "Bacterial small subunit ribosomal RNA". Lineage: Bacteria; Bacillati; Actinomycetota; Actinomycetes; Micrococcales; Microbacteriaceae. The record is from RNAcentral. RNAcentral also lists the same sequence under 1 other name.